UGGCGCAAUUGGUUAGCGCGUCUGACUGUUAAUCAGGAGGUUGCUAGUUCAAGCCUAG
RNAcentral lists this transfer RNA (58 nucleotides) under Coemansia sp. RSA 2131. RNAcentral's name for it is "tRNA-Asn". It matches the Rfam family "tRNA", at positions 8 to 62 of the family's 71-position model. Rfam says of the family: Transfer RNA (tRNA) molecules are approximately 80 nucleotides in length. Their secondary structure includes four short double-helical elements and three loops (D, anti-codon, and T loops). The record is from RNAcentral. Lineage: Eukaryota; Fungi; Kickxellomycota; Kickxellomycetes; Kickxellales; Kickxellaceae.